CGUCCGGCGUCGUCCGUCGUCGUCCGUCGUCGGCGUUAACUUUUUACAUUUUGAACUUCUUCUAGAGAACCACUGAAUGGAAUGAAACCAAACAUGGCAUGAAUGUUCCUUAUGAGGUGCUGACCAAGUGUUGUUACUUUGUAGCCGAUCCAUCAUCCAAGAUGGCCGCCAGCAGGGGACUUAGUUUAACAUAGGACCCUAUGGGAAAUGCAUACAAAUGACUUCUUUUAGAGAACCACUGAAUGGAAUAAAACCAAACAUGGCAUGAAUGUUCCUUAUGAGGUGCUGACCAAGUGUUGUUACUUUGUAGCCGAUCCAUCAUCCAAGAUGGCCGCCAUCGGGGAACUUAGUUUAACAUAGGACCCUAUGGGAAAUACAUACAAAUGUCUUCUUUUAGAGAACCACUGAAUGGAAUGAAACCAAACAUGGCAUGAAUGUUCCUUAUGAGGUGCUGACCAAGUGUUGUUACUUUGUAGCCGAUCCAUCAUCCAAGAUGGCCGCCAGCGGGGGACAUAGUUUAACAUAGGACCCUAUGGGAAAUACAUAAAAAUGUCUUCUUUUAGAGAACCACUGAAUGGAAUGGAACCAAACAUGGCAUGAAUGUUCCUUAUGAGAUGCUGACCAAGUGUUGUUACUUUGCAGUCGGUCCAUCAUCCAAGAUGGCCGCCAGCAGGGGACUUAGUUUAACAUAGGACCCUAUGGGAAAUACAUACAAAUGUCUUCUUUUAGAGAACCACUGAAUGGAAUGAAACCAAACAUGGCAUGAAUGUCCCUUAUGAGGUUCUGACCAAGUGUUGUUACUUUGUAGCUAAUCCAUCAUCCAAGAUGGCCGCCAGCGGGGGACUUAGUUUAACAUAGGACCCUAUGGGAAAUACAUACAAAUGUCUUCUUUUAGAAAACCACUGAAUAGAAUGAAACCAAACAUGGCAUGAAUGUUCCUUAUGAGGUGCUGACCAAGUGUUGUUACUUUGCAGUCGGUCCAUCAUCCAAGAUGGCCGACAGCAGGGGACUUAGUUUAACAUAGGACCCUAUGGGAAAUACAUAAAAAUGUCUUCUUUUAGAGAACCACUGAAUGGAAUGGAACCAAACAUGGCAUGAAUGUUCCUUAUGAGGUACUGACCAAGUGUUGUUACUUUGCAGUCGGUCUAUCAUCCAAGAUGGCCGACAGCAGGGGACUUAGUUUAACAAAGGACCUAUGGGAAAUACAUACAAAUGUCAUCUUUUAGAGAACCACUGAAUGGAAUGAAACCAAACAUGGCAUGAAUCUUCCUUAUGAGAUGCUGACCAAGUGUUGUUACUUUGUAGCCGAUCCAUCAUCCAAGAUGGCCGACAGCGGGGACUUAGUUUAACAUAGGACCCUAUGGGAAAUACAUACAAUUGUCUUCUUUUAGAGAACCACUGAAUGGAAUUGAACCAAACAUGGUAUUAAUGUUCCUUAUGAGUUGCUGACCAAGUGUUGUUACUUUGCAGUUGAUCCAUCAUCCAAGAUGGCCGCUAGCAGGGGACUUAGUUUAACAUAGGACCCUAUGGGAAAUGCAUACAAAUGACUUCUUUUAGAGAACCACUGAAUGGAAUGAAACCAAACAUGGCAUGAAUGUUCCUUAUGAGGUGCUCACCAAGUGUUGUUACUUUGUAGCGGAUCCAUCAUCCAAGAUGGCUGCCAGCGGGGGACUUAGUUUAACAUAGGACCCUUUGGGAAAUGCAUACAAAUGACUUCUUUUAGAGAACCAAUGAAUGGAAUAAAACCAAACAUGGCAUGAAUGUUCCUUAUGAGGUGCUGACCAAGUGUUGUUACUUUGUAGCCGAUCCAUCAUCCAAGAUGGCCGCCAUCGGGGAACUUAGUUUAACAUAGGACCCUAUGGGAAAUACAUACACAUGUCUUCUUUUAGAGUACCACUGAAUGGAAUGAAACCAAACAUGGCAUGAAUGUUCCUUAUGAAGUGCUGACCAUGUGUUGCUACUUUGUUGCCGAUUUACUGUUCAAGAUGGCCACCAGGAUAUUUUAUUAAAUAACAGGACCAAUAUUAAUCAAAAUUUGGCCUCAAUCAUUAUUUGGGUAUCUGUUAUGAUUUUUAUCUAUCUUUACAUGAUUUCUAAAACCAAAGUAGAGUCAGGUGAGCGACACAGGCUCUUGAGAGCCUCUAGUUUUUUAUACGACCGCAAAAAUUAAAAAUUUUUUGGUCGUAUAUUGGUAUGACGUUGGCGUUGUCGUCGUCCGAAGUCACAUUGGUUUUCGCAAUCUAACUUUAGUUUAAGUGAAUGGAUCUCCAUGAAAUUUUACCAUAAGGUUCAAUACCACAAAAGGAAGGUUGGGAUUGAUUUUGGGGGUUAUGGUACCAACAGUUAAGGAAUUAAGGGCCAAAAAGGGGCCAAAAAUAAGCAUUUUUGUAACUUCCAGACAUAACUUGUGUGUUAGUGUAUGGAUCUCUCUGACAUUGUACCACAAGGUUCCAUAUCACAAACGGAAUGCUGGGAUUGAUUUUGGGGGUAAUUGUUGCAAAAUUUUAGGAAUUAGGGGCCAAAAAAGGGGCAAAAAACAAGCAUUUUUCUAGUUUCAUGAUAAUAACUUGUGUGUAAGUAUAUGGAUUUUUCUGAAAUUGUACUACAAGGUUCCAUAUCACAAAGGGAAAGCUGGAAUUGAGUUUGGGGGUAAUUGCCCAAAACGUUUAGGAAUAAGGGGCCAAAAAGGGGCCAAAAAUAGCAUUUUUCUAGUUUCCAGACAAUAACUUGUGUUCAAGUGUAUGGAUCUCUCUGAAAUUGUACUGCAAGGUACCAUAUUACAAAGGGAAUGCUGGGAUUGAUUUUGGGGGUAAUUGCCUCAAAAUUUUAGGAAUUAGGGACCAAAAAGGGGCAAAAAACAAGCAUUUUUCUAGUUUCAGGACAAUAACUUGUGUGUAGGUGUAUGGAUCUUUAUGAAAUUGUACUACAAGGUUCCAUAUCACAAAAGGAAAGCUGGGUUUGAGUUUGGGGGUAAUUGCUCUAACCGUUUAGGAAUUUGGGGCCAAAAAGGGGCCUAAAAACAAACAUUUUUCUAGUUUCCAGACAAUAACUUGUGUUCAAGUGUAUGGAUCUCUCUGAAAUUGUACUGCAAGGUACCAUACCACAAAGGGAAGGCUGGGAUUGAGUUUGGGGGUGAUGAAUCAUAAGGGGGUUCAAAAAAUUUAGUGGAGGGAUUUUUUUUUUCUUUAAAAUUUUCCAUUUUAAAUUGGUUAUUU
Molecule: long non-coding RNA, 3215 nt
Organism: Mytilus californianus (California mussel)
Lineage: Eukaryota; Metazoa; Mollusca; Bivalvia; Mytilida; Mytilidae
Exons: 2
Source: RefSeq, a predicted model, not a curated record